Molecule: transfer RNA, 72 nt
Filed under: Camelus bactrianus (Bactrian camel)
Lineage: Eukaryota; Metazoa; Chordata; Mammalia; Artiodactyla; Camelidae
Also listed under: 2 other names
Rfam family: tRNA
About the family: Transfer RNA (tRNA) molecules are approximately 80 nucleotides in length. Their secondary structure includes four short double-helical elements and three loops (D, anti-codon, and T loops). Further hydrogen bonds mediate the characteristic L-shaped molecular structure. tRNAs have two regions of fundamental functional importance: the anti-codon, which is responsible for specific mRNA codon recognition, and the 3' end, to which the tRNAs corresponding amino acid is attached (by aminoacyl-tRNA synthetases). tRNAs cope with the degeneracy of the genetic code in two manners: having more than one tRNA (with a specific anti-codon) for a particular amino acid; and 'wobble' base-pairing, i.e. permitting non-standard base-pairing at the 3rd anti-codon position.
Source: Rfam by way of RNAcentral
GGAGGGAAGGUACACUGGUAGAGCGCGUGCUUAGCAUGCACAAGGUCCUGGGUUCAAUCCCCAGCACCUCCA